CUCAGUAACACGUGGACAACCUACCCUCAGCACGGGGAUAAACCCGGGAAACUGGGUAUAAUACCCGAUAGUUCUGGUUAGCUGGAAUGCUAUCAGGACGAAAGCUCCGGCGGCCGAGGAUGGGUCUGCGGCCUAUCAGGUAGUAGUGGGUGUAACGUACCUACUAGCCUACGACGGGUACGGGUUGUGAGAGCAAGAGCCCGGAGAUGGAUUCUGAGACACGAAUCCAGGCCCUACGGGGUGCAGCAGGCGCGAAAACUUUACAAUGCUGGCAACAGCGAUAAGGGGACCUCGAGUGCCAGGAUACAAUCUUGGCUGUCGUGAUGCCUAAAAAGCAUUGCAUAGCAAGGGCCGGGCAAGACCGGUGCCAGCCGCCGCGGUAACACCGGCGGCUCGAGUGGUAACCGCUAUUAUUGGGUCUAAAGGGUCUGUAGCCGGCCGGAUAAGUCUCUUGGGAAAUCCAGCAGCUCAACUGUUGGGCUUCCAGGAGAUACUGUCUGGCUCGAGGCCGGGAGAGGUGAGAGGUACUUCAGGGGUAGGGGUGAAAUCUUGUAAUCCUUGAAGGACCACCAGUGGCGAAGGCGUCUCACCAGAACGGACCUGACGGCAAGGGACGAAAGCUAGGGGCACGAACCGGAUUAGAUACCCGGGUAGUCCUAGCCGUAAACGAUACUCGCUAGGUGUCGGCCACGGUGCGACCGUGGUCGGUGCCGUAGGGAAGCCGUGAAGCGAGCCACCUGGGAAGUACGGCCGCAAGGCUGAAACUUAAAGGAAUUGGCGGGGGAG
This 786-nucleotide ribosomal RNA is filed under the name uncultured archaeon. Its description in RNAcentral is "bacterial SSU rRNA". It matches the Rfam family "Archaeal small subunit ribosomal RNA", at positions 89 to 876 of the family's 1478-position model. The record is from RNAcentral.